This 908-nucleotide ribosomal RNA is filed under the name nr. Dimorphochilus sp. COL1556. Its description in RNAcentral is "SSU rRNA". It matches the Rfam family "Eukaryotic small subunit ribosomal RNA", at positions 54 to 916 of the family's 1831-position model. The record is from RNAcentral. Lineage: Eukaryota; Metazoa; Arthropoda; Insecta; Coleoptera; Tenebrionidae.
CAUGUCUCAGUACAAGCCGCAAUUAAGGUGAAACCGCGAAAGGCUCAUUAAAUCAGUUAUGGUUCCUUAGAUCGUACCCACAUUUACUUGGAUAACUGUGGUAAUUCUAGAGCUAAUACAUGCAAACAGAGCCCCAACCGGAAACGGAAGGGGCGCUUUUAUUAGAUCAAAACCCAUCGGUGUCGGUCUCCGUCAUCGUACAACUUGGUGACUCUGAAUAACUUUACGCUGAUCGCACGGUCUCGCACCGGCGACGCAUCUUUCAAAUGUCUGCCUUAUCAACUGUCGAUGGUAGGUUCUGCGCCUACCAUGGUUGUAACGGGUAACGGGGAAUCAGGGUUCGAUUCCGGAGAGGGAGCCUGAGAAACGGCUACCACAUCCAAGGAAGGCAGCAGGCGCGCAAAUUACCCACUCCCGGCACGGGGAGGUAGUGACGAAAAAUAACGAUACGGGACUCMUCCGAGGCCCCGUAAUCGGAAUGAGUACACUCUAAACCCUUUAACGAGGAUCAAUUGGAGGGCAAGUCUGGUGCCAGCAGCCGCGGUAAUUCCAGCUCCAAUAGCGUAUAUUAAAGUUGUUGCGGUUAAAAAGCUCGUAGUCGAAUCUGUGUCCCGCGCCGCCGGUUCAUCGUUCGCGGUGUUAACUGGCGUGCCGCGGGACGUCCUGCCGGUGGGCUUAGCUCGAGAGGGCGGCCCAACUCAAUCCCGCCGCGGUGCUCUUCAUUGAGUGUCGAGGUGGGCCGGCACGUUUACUUUGAACAAAUUAGAGUGCUUAAAGCAGGCUAAAACUUCGCCUGAAUACUGUGUGCAUGGAAUAAUGGAAUAGGACCUCGGUUCUAUUUUGUUGGUUUUCGUUANCCCCNGAGUAAUGAUUAAUAGGAACGGAUGGGGGCAUUCGUAUUGCGACGU